GCCACAGUCACAAAGCCAAACGGGAGAAAGGACCAGAAUGUGAGGGAAAAGAAAGCAAACCAGGGAAGCAAAACGCAUGCCAACUGUUUGCUUGUCAAGAAUAAUGCAAAAUUCCUUCCAAAUGGAAUGAUAACUGUUUGGUAUGUCCAUACUAAUCAUUACCCAAGCCGAAAAGAGAUGCAACAUUUACCAAUUCCGGGCAAUGUCAAAGAGAUGGUCUCACAAAAACCAGCAAUGGGUGUGACAACAGAAAGAAUUCUUGAAUAUAUAUGGAGUGGCAUAGUCAACAGAUGUGAGAAUCACCAUUCAAUGAGCUUGUGAAACGAGAACACAUGCUUUAUCACCAGACAGGAUGUUCACAACUUGGAAUGAUCAAUGUCAGAGCUCAACCACUCUAAUGAUGCACAAUCUGUCAAAUCAAAUGUUGAAAAACUUGCCACAGAACCAUUCAAUCCAGUGUUGGACUACAAGGAGUUUGGCAUGCACGAUAACAACUUUCCUAAUUUACCUACAGACUCGUUUCUCCUGAUACUACAAACGGAACAUCAGAAACAAAUGUUUCAGAGACAUAUAGUGCACGAGUUGUCUGUGUUGAUUCAACACAUAAUACGAACCAGUAUGACUACAAGCUCAUCACAAUGAUGAUAAGAGACGAUUACGGUCAAGGGAAAACUGUAGCUUGGGCAAUCAGCAGCAAAGAGGAAACUGCAUACACGGUCUACUUUUUCGAAGCUGUGAAGAAAGCAUACCUGAUGCAACAGUUGCAACUUUGAUGAGUGAUGAUGACAAUGCUGUGUGGUCUGCUGCCAAAAGUGUAUUUAGUACUGGCAUCAAACACCUUCUUUGCAAGUGUCAUUUUGACAGAAACAUUCGCAAGAACUUGUACUGUAAAGUAAGAAACAAAGAGGACCAAGUAGCUAUAUACAAGAGCUUCUACAUCAUUUUAAACGAAACAGAUAAAAGUAAGUUCCAUCAAUAUCUGAAUUCAUUCAUGAAGACAUGGUCUACCAAACAACCAAAAUUUAUGGAGUAUAUCAGAUUACAUUACAACUGCAGACCAGAAAAGUGGGCCAUGGCAUACAGAGACUCUGACCACGCAGACACUGAUACAAACAUGGUCGUUGAAAAUUUCCAUAGCAAGCUGAAAAGACACCCUUCAUAUCUUGCAAACAUAGCUAAUAGGAGAAUAGACCAUCUGAUCAAUGUGCUGCUGAAAAUAGAAGAAAGCGAGUUCUUUAGAUUCUCAAAAAGAAGAGCACUGGAAUUCAGCCAAACGUUGGACACAAAAAGAAGAGUCACAACAUCACCGGGCAAUGAUGAUUAGUGACACUGAUGUAGGAUUGUGGCGAUAGUAAUUGGAGAGUCAAGUCACAGUCAAUUCCAGGGAACAUCUACACUAUCAAAAAGCUUAGACAAGCAUGUCCUCAGUCUCAUUGCACCUCCUUCAAUUGCCCCAUGUGUGGAUGCUGUCGGGAUAUGUACGAAUGCAGUUGCUUUGACUUUGCUACUGGUCAUCUAUGUAAACAUAUUCAUAAAAGUAUGCGCCAUAUCUACCAGCCAUUCUACACAUCCUGAUGAAGACACUGCAGAGAAUGAUUGUGAAGCCAUCCUCAAGCUCAAGGUCAAUAGUAAAAACCCAACGGUUCUUUCUGUACCAGCAGAAAACCCACAAAUAUCUUCCAAAGCAAGUGCAACACAACUCAAUUUGGUGACAACACUUUGUCACACGAUAUGCCAAAGAAUUGAACAAGGCAAUUUUAACAUUAUGUAUUUACCAAAUGUGCUGUCUCACCAGAAUUAACAAGCAGACUUGAUCAGCAUACACUAUCUACAGCAAUGUCCAAGAAAACAAAAACAGUGGCUCCAGGAAAGAAGAAUGAACAGCAAGUCAAAGGAUUUUAUAGAGUGUCAGUAAAGAAAGGCAGAAAACGAAUGACAGAUGUGUUAUGAGCUCCAGACCUGCCAGAAGCAAAAAGGAUAAAAGAUAUUGUCCUUAGGGUAAGUUUCAUACCUAGUUCUAAUUAAUGACAUUUCAUGACAUUGCAACAACAGACUUAUUGACAUGACACAGACCAUUUCCACAUGUUGACUGAUGAUGAACCUGAAGCAUCUGAAUGUUCCAUGGUAGGUGUUGUACAUCUACAGUUCGUUUCUUUCAACAAACCAAUUCGAAAGAUAGCACCUGUUCAUUGCAUUAUAGCUGCAGGUGUCUGAUCAUACUUAUGCAAGAGCUAGUCCUGCUGCUGUAAGCAACAAUACCUCACUACCUAGAGAAGACUUCUUCAUAACUGACAUUCAUGUAGCUGUAGGUAAGUGACCAUACUUAUGGACUGGCUGUUGACACCCCUACAGCGAUUAGAAGACCUGUUCCUACCCCUCAUCCUGUGCAAGUUGGCAAAGGAACAAAGAUUGAUUGGUUAGCAAAAAGAAUGAGAAAGCAGAUGGAAGAACGCGGAAACAAUCAGUUUGUAUAAUGUGGUUUAAUUAAAUAUAUCAGCAUUUUUGUGG
Corticium candelabrum is the source of this 2508-nucleotide long non-coding RNA. RefSeq lists it as uncharacterized. Lineage: Eukaryota; Metazoa; Porifera; Homoscleromorpha; Homosclerophorida; Plakinidae. The transcript has 10 exons. The record is from RefSeq and is a predicted model, not a curated record.